UGGGGAAUAUUGGGCAAUGGGCGAAAGCCUGACCCAGCAACGCCGCGUGAAGGAUGAAGUAUUUCGGUAUGUAAACUUCGUAAGAAUAGGAAGAAUAAAUGACGGUACUAUUUGUAAGGUCCGGCUAACUACGUGCCAGCAGCCGCGGUAAUACGUAGGGACCAAGCGUUGUUCGGAUUUACUGGGCGUAAAGGGCGCGUAGGCGGCGUGGUAAGUCAUCUGUGAAAUCUCCGAGCUUAACUCGGAACGGUCAGAUGAUACUGCUGUGCUAGAGUACAGAAAGGGCAAUCGGAAUUCUUGGUGUAGCGGUGAAAUGCGUAGAUAUCAAGAGGAACACCUGAGGCGAAGGCGGGUUGCUAGGCUGAUACUGACGCUGAGGCGCGAAAGCUAGGGUAGCAAACGGGAUUAGAUACCCCCGUAGUCCCUGAGCGGGCUGGCAAGGCGCAU
This 447-nucleotide ribosomal RNA is filed under the name uncultured bacterium. RNAcentral's name for it is "bacterial SSU rRNA". It matches the Rfam family "Bacterial small subunit ribosomal RNA", at positions 355 to 825 of the family's 1533-position model. The record is from RNAcentral.